AACGAACGCUGGCGGCAUGCCUAACACAUGCAAGUCGAACGAGACCUUCGGGUCUAGUGGCGCACGGGUGCGUAACGCGUGGGAACCUGCCCUUAGGUUCGGAAUAACUCCCCGAAAGGGGUGCUAAUACCGGAUAAUGUCUUCGGACCAAAGAUUUAUCGCCUUUGGAUGGGCCCGCGUUGGAUUAGCUAGUUGGUAGGGUAAAAGCAUACCAAGGCGACGAUCCAUAGCUGGUCUGAGAGGAUGAUCAGCCACACUGGGACUGAGGCACGGCCCAGACUCCUACGGGAGGCAGCAGUGGGGAAUAUUGGACAAUGGGCGAAAGCCUGAUCCAGCAAUGCCGCGUGAGUGAUGAAGGCCUUAGGGUUGUAAAGCUCUUUUACCCGGGAUGAUAAUGACAGUACCGGGAGAAUAAGCUCCGGCUAACUCCGUG
Molecule: ribosomal RNA, 433 nt
Filed under: uncultured bacterium
Lineage: Bacteria
Description: partial 16S ribosomal RNA
Rfam family: Bacterial small subunit ribosomal RNA
Source: RNAcentral